GCGGAAAUGGCGGAAUUGGUAGACGCACCAGAUUUAGGUUCUGGCGCCGCAAGGUGUGAGAGUUCAAGUCUCUCUUUUCCGCACCA
Molecule: transfer RNA, 86 nt
Filed under: Vibrio ponticus
Lineage: Bacteria; Pseudomonadati; Pseudomonadota; Gammaproteobacteria; Vibrionales; Vibrionaceae
Description: tRNA-Leu
Rfam family: tRNA
About the family: Transfer RNA (tRNA) molecules are approximately 80 nucleotides in length.
Source: RNAcentral